Molecule: ribosomal RNA, 253 nt
Filed under: uncultured bacterium
Lineage: Bacteria
Description: partial 16S ribosomal RNA
Rfam family: Bacterial small subunit ribosomal RNA
Source: RNAcentral
UACAGAGGCUGCAAGCGUUAUUCGGAUUCACUGGGCGUAAAGGGUGCGCAGGCGGCCGUGUGUGUGAGGCGUGAAAGCCCGGGGCUUAACCCCGGAAUUGCACCUCAAACUACACGGCUAGAGCAUUGGAGAGGGUAGCAGAAUUCACGGUGUAGCAGUGAAAUGCGUAGAUAUCGUGAGGAAUACCAGAGGCGAAGGCGGCUUCCUGGAGAAUUGCUGACGCUCAGGCACGAAAGCGUGGGGAGCAAAAGGG